Molecule: ribosomal RNA, 253 nt
Filed under: uncultured bacterium
Lineage: Bacteria
Description: partial 16S ribosomal RNA
Rfam family: Bacterial small subunit ribosomal RNA
Source: RNAcentral
UACGUAGGCAGCGAGCGUUGUUCGGAGUUACUGGGCGUAAAGAGUGCGUAGGCGGUUUUCUAAGUUUGGUGUGAAAUCUCCCGGCUUAACUGGGAGGGUGCGCCGAAAACUGGAAGGCUUGAGUAUGGGAGAGGUAAGCGGAAUUCCUGGUGUAGCGGUGAAAUGCGUAGAUAUCUGGAGGAACACCGGUGGCGAAGGCGGCGUUCUGGACUGCAACUGACACUGAGGAACGAAAGCCAGGGGAGCAAACGGG